Molecule: transfer RNA, 74 nt
Filed under: Theileria annulata
Lineage: Eukaryota; Apicomplexa; Aconoidasida; Piroplasmida; Theileriidae
Description: Ala transfer RNA (cgc)
Rfam family: tRNA
About the family: Transfer RNA (tRNA) molecules are approximately 80 nucleotides in length. Their secondary structure includes four short double-helical elements and three loops (D, anti-codon, and T loops).
Source: RNAcentral
UGGGCUUGUGGUGUAGUGGUAUCACGUUCGCUUCGCAUGCGAAAGGCCUCGGGUUCGAUUCCCGAUGAGUCCAG